UCUCCAGUCUCUCUCCAGCUGCUGUCUCUCUCCAGUCUCUCUCCAGUCUCUCUCCAGUCUCUCUCCAGUCUCUCUCCAGUCUCUCUCCAGUCUCUCUCCAGCUGCUGUCUCUCUCCAGUCUCUCUCCAGUCUCUCUCCAGUCUCUCUCCAGUCUCUCUCCAGUCUCUCUCCAGCUGCUGUCUCUCUCCAGUCUCUCUCCAGUCUCUCUCCAGUCUCUCUCCAGUCUCUCUCCAGUCUCUCUCCAGCUGCUGUCUCUCUCCAGUCUCUCUCCAGUCUCUCUCCAGUCUCUCUCCAGCUGCUGUCUCUCUCCAGUCUCUCUCCAGUCUCUCUCCAGUCUCUCUCCAGUCUCUCUCCAGCUGCUGUCUCUCUCCAGUCUCUCUCCAGUCUCUCUCCAGUCUCUCUCCAGACUCUCUCCAGUCUCUCUCCAGACUCUCUCCAGUCUCUCUCCAGUCUCUCUCAUGUCUCUCCAGUCUCUCUCCAGUCUCUCUCCAGACUCUCUCCAGUCUCUCUCCAGUCUCUCUUCAGUCUCUCUCCAGUCUCUCUCCAGUCUCUCUCCAGUCUCUCUUCAGUCUCUCUCUAGUCUCUCCAGUCUCUCUCCAGUCUCUCUCCAGUCUCUCUCCAGUCUCUCUCCAGUCUCUCUCCAGCUGCUGUCUCUCUCCAGUCUCUCUCCAGUCUCUCUCCAGUCUCUCUCCAGUCUCUCUCCAGUCUCUCUUCAGUCUCUCUCCAGUCUCUCUCCAGUCUCUCUCCAGUCUCUCUUCAGUCUCUCUCUAGUCUCUCCAGUCUCUCUCCAGUCUCUCUCCAGUCUCUCUUCAGUCUCUCUCCAGUCUCUCUCCAGUCUCUCUCCAGUCUCUCUUCAGUCUCUCUCCAGUCUCUCUCCAGUCUCUCUCCAGUCUCUCUCUAGUCUCUCCAGUCUCUCUCCAGUCUCUCUUCAGUCUCUCUCCAGUCUCUCUCUAGUCUCUCCAGUCUCUCUCCAGUCUCUCUCCAGUCUCUCUCCAGUCUCUCCAUCUCUCCAGUCUCUCUCCAGUCUCUCUCCAGUCUCUCUUCAGUCUCUCUCCAGUAUCUCUCCAGUCUCUCUCCAGUCUCUCUCCAGUCUCUCUCCAGUCUCUCUUCAGUCUCUCUCCAGUCUCUCUCCAGUCUCUCUCCAGUCUCUCUCCAGUCUCUCUUCAGUCUCUCUCCAGUCUCUCUCCAGUCUCUCUCCAGUCUUUCUCCAGUCUCUCUCCAGUCUCUCUCUAGUCUCUCCAGUCUCUCUCCAGUCUCUCUUCAGUCUCUCUCCAGUCUCUCCUCAGUCUCUCUCCAGUCUCUCUUCAGUCUCUCUGUCUUUCUGUCUCUCCUC
Molecule: long non-coding RNA, 1333 nt
Filed under: Salmo salar (Atlantic salmon)
Lineage: Eukaryota; Metazoa; Chordata; Actinopteri; Salmoniformes; Salmonidae
Description: lncRNA (ENSSSAG00000089167.1)
Source: RNAcentral